GAUGAACGCUGGCGGCGUGCCUAAUACAUGCAAGUCGAGCGAACGGACGAGAAGCUUGCUUUUCUGAUGUUAGCGGCGGACGGGUGAGUAACACGUGUAUAACCUACCUAUAAGACUGGGAUAACUUCGGGAAACCGGAGCUAAUACCGGAUAAUAUUUUGAACCGCAUGGUUCAAAAGUGAAAGACGGUCUUGCUGUCACUUAUAGAUGGAUCCGCGCUGCAUUAGCUAGUUGGUAAGGUAACGGCUUGCCAAGGCAACGAUGCAUAGCCGACCUGAGAGGGUGAUCGGCCACACUGGAACUGAGACACGGUCCAGACUCCUACGGGAGGCAGCAGUAGGGAAUCUUCCGCAAUGGGCGAAAGCCUGACGGAGCAACGCCGCGUGAGUGAUGAAGGUCUUCGGAUCGUAAAACUCUGUUAUUAGGGAAGAACAUAUGUGUAAGUAACUGUGCACAUCUUGACGGUACCUAAUCAGAAAGCCACGGCUAACUACGUG
This 497-nucleotide ribosomal RNA is filed under the name uncultured bacterium. Its description in RNAcentral is "partial 16S ribosomal RNA". It matches the Rfam family "Bacterial small subunit ribosomal RNA", at positions 28 to 507 of the family's 1533-position model. The record is from RNAcentral.